UACGUAGGUGGCAAGCGUUGUCCGGAAUUACUGGGCGUAAAGCGCGCGCAGGCGGUUCUUUAAGUCUGGUGUUUAAGCUCAAGGCUCAACCUUGGGACGCACGGGAAACUGGGGAACUGGAGUGCAGGAGAGGAAAGUGGAAUUCCACGUGUAGCGGUGAAAUGCGUAGAUAUGUGGAGGAACACCAGUGGCUAAGGCGAGUCUCUUGACAAUUCCUGACGCUGAGGCACGAAAGCUAGGGGAGCAAACAGG
Molecule: ribosomal RNA, 252 nt
Filed under: uncultured bacterium
Lineage: Bacteria
Description: partial 16S ribosomal RNA
Rfam family: Bacterial small subunit ribosomal RNA
Source: RNAcentral